This 30-nucleotide ribosomal RNA is filed under the name Cistella grevillei. Its description in RNAcentral is "partial ribosomal RNA". Lineage: Eukaryota; Fungi; Ascomycota; Leotiomycetes; Helotiales. The record is from RNAcentral.
UUCCNUAGGUGACCUGCGGAAGGAUCAUUA